AAAUUUCAUUGAAAAAAAAGUUGUAGCAGGGUGUCUAUUUUUUGUCGCACUUUUGGUACCUAAUUCUCAUUUUGCUAAAAUAGGCGCGGGAGACAGAGGGGUUAAUCUAACAUUUUUUAUAUUUGAUUUAGAUUGAAUAACAUUUUCAGUUUUUUUUUAGAUUAAAUAAAAUUGAAGGUCAAAAUAAUGAUAAAGGUUUUCAAUAUUGUUUCCUAUUUAUUAAAGUUAAAAA
Molecule: non-coding RNA, 232 nt
Organism: Hydra vulgaris (swiftwater hydra)
Lineage: Eukaryota; Metazoa; Cnidaria; Hydrozoa; Anthoathecata; Hydridae
Source: RefSeq, a predicted model, not a curated record